AGGUGAACGGAAUUUGCCAGGCAAGGUUCUUCAUGCGCCAUGACUUUACUGUGCUGCAGGAGUUUUGGUGCGGACGCCUACGCUAUAUUAAGAAAUCAGGCCAGAAACAAUGCUCGUCUGUGACCCUCUGGGACGCGGUCGCACAAGGCUCGAGUGCUGCAGACUUAAGAAAGAAUAAAAAGUGUUAAAGACGUAUCC
Molecule: long non-coding RNA, 198 nt
Organism: Rhipicephalus microplus (southern cattle tick)
Lineage: Eukaryota; Metazoa; Arthropoda; Arachnida; Ixodida; Ixodidae
Source: RefSeq, a predicted model, not a curated record